This 471-nucleotide small RNA is filed under the name Pongo abelii (Sumatran orangutan). RNAcentral's name for it is "processed transcript". The record is from RNAcentral. Lineage: Eukaryota; Metazoa; Chordata; Mammalia; Primates; Hominidae.
GUUGACUUUCUCCUUCUCACAUAUCAAUUAUUCUGCCCUUUCCUGUUUGUUUCUGUUUGUUUUUCUCCCUCAGGUGCUCAGGAACAGCCCAUGGAAGAAUCAUAUGAAGAGGUGGUGACUGAGGUCGUAAGCAGGAGUGGACAUGUUUGGAUUUCCAACAGCUACCCUGCUGGACUGUCAUGGAAGAUAUGCCCAGAAUGUAGCGUUCUUCAGUGAGUGAGUCAGUUGAUGGCUGGAUGCGCUCAGCUCACAGAUAUUCAGUGCCCCUGUUCUCAGCACUGGUCGGCAGUCUGAGGACGCAAAGGAGACCUUGCUUUGAUGUGAUGACUGAAGCCCACCACAAAUAUGACCACUCUGAGGCUACAGGAUCCUCAAGCUGGGAUAUCCAAAAUUCUUUCAGAAGAGAGAAGCUGGAACAAAAAUCCCCAGAUUCGAAGACACUACAGGAAGAUUCACCUGGAGUGAGACAAA